RNAcentral lists this ribosomal RNA (253 nucleotides) under uncultured bacterium. RNAcentral's name for it is "partial 16S ribosomal RNA". It matches the Rfam family "Bacterial small subunit ribosomal RNA", at positions 524 to 776 of the family's 1533-position model. The record is from RNAcentral.
UACGUAGGGGCCUAGCGUUGUCCGGAUUUAUUGGGCGUAAAGAGCUCGUAGGCGGCACGGUUAGUCAGGUGUGAAAUCUCCACGCUCAACGUGGAGGGGUCACCUAAUACUGCCGAGCUUAAGUCCGGUAGGGGAGACUGGAAUUCCUGGUGUAGCGGUGAAAUGCGCAGAUAUCAGGAGGAACACCGGUGGCGAAGGCGGGUCUCUGGGCCGAUACUGACGCUGAGGAGCGAAAGCGUGGGGAGCGAACAGG